Long non-coding RNA from Quercus lobata, 890 nucleotides. RefSeq lists it as uncharacterized. The record is from RefSeq and is a predicted model, not a curated record. The transcript has 2 exons. Lineage: Eukaryota; Viridiplantae; Streptophyta; Magnoliopsida; Fagales; Fagaceae.
GUCCCUAAAAUGAAAUACAAACAGAAUCUCCCCCAGAUAGCUCCACUUAUAAGCCGUCUCAAAAAUCUGAGACGUAAUCACUUUCUCCUCCUUGUUCUUGGUGUUAUCUUUAACAGAUACCAACUUUGAUCAAAAGGCACUUCUCAUGUUACCCUCAAGCCAAAAUUACUAAUUCUAUAACUUGCAAAAUCCAAAGCAUCGGUCUUCUGUAUCUUGCCCUCUUCUUCGGGUCACUGUCCCUUCUCUCCCAAACUUCUCUCAGCAUAAAUAGCACCCACCUACUUUCAUAACUCUUAGUUCUUCUUCUUCUUCUUCUUCUCACUGCCACUACAUAUCACAGCAAACACCCGGAAUUCAUUUUGCUAAUUGGUGUUUGAUGGGAUCAUUUAAGGAAGGGAGAGAAGAAAGUCACGGGGAACGAAGGGAAAGAGUGAAGACAUGCAUAGUUUAUUCAUGGUCAUUAUUGGUGAGCAUGAUAGGAGGUCUAACAAUGGGGUGGUGGGAAUACGAGUACCACUCCACAAAUAGUCAACUUUGGAUGGUGCCCUUUGGUCUAGUUCUGCUUAUUACACCUCUCUUUGUUUGGUUCUCUAUCUUUGUUUCCGAUUUAUGUAGCUCUAAGGUUCAAGAUGCUCCGAGUGCUGCAGCAAGUCAACCCGUUCGUCCACUUGCAGGUGACCUUGAGAGAUCGAUGAUCAAAACCAAGAAGUUACCACCUACAGUGAUUAAUGUUGAUGUAUGACUCUUUUUUCUAUUCUAUGAGCAUCUUUUUUUACUGUUCUAGCUAGGACAGUAAGACUUGGCUUCUCUUUUUACAGUAUCACAUCAUUGCGCAGAAUCAUGAGUUAUUUGAUAAAGAGAAAAUUCAAAAAGAGAGUGCAUUAAAUUUA